Molecule: long non-coding RNA, 1322 nt
Organism: Belonocnema kinseyi
Lineage: Eukaryota; Metazoa; Arthropoda; Insecta; Hymenoptera; Cynipidae
Exons: 7
Source: RefSeq, a predicted model, not a curated record
CUGUUCUUCGUUAUUCAUUCACAGGUUCAAUCCCUCGAAAAUUAAAGAAAAAGAGUUUGCAGUCACCUGUGGCCAGGAAAUUUGCUCAGCAAGAAUAGCAGUUGUCGCAGAUACGGAAAUAGAGAUGCAAAAGAUUAUUUCUGAGAAGAGGAUCAAGUUUGCACCAAGUCACGUUCUAAGAGCACAUUCUGAACUCUUUGAAACUCUGAAGAUACUAAAGAAGGAGAAAAGAGAAGUUCUUGAUCUGAAAAAAAAAAGAUUGUGAAAGCGAAAAUUGAUGUUACUGAUCUAAAGAAAAUGAAGACAAUAGAAGAGUCAAAUUUAGAGGAACACGAUGAAAACAGCUCUUCAUCUCAAACAUCAGAAGCACUGAAGUCAGAUGGUAAUUCAGAAACACAGUACAAUAAGUCGAAAUUCUAUUGCAACAGUAGCACCAUUUCCCCAAAAUAAGUCUUACAGAUUUAUUGAGUGGCGGGAUAUCAUGCGAAAAUGAGCAUUGUUUGGAGACACUUAGGGAACUCCAGAAAAAUAUUCUGAACUUAAAUUCAGAAAACAUAAUGUUAAAAGAGAAAAAUCUUUAACUACAAGACCGAUUUGUAAACCGAUUUGACCAAAUAAUGGAAAGGUUCCAGAACGUUCAAGAAGGUGCUAAGGACAAUCUGUCUAAAAAGAUAGAAACAGGAGAGUUUCUGCAUGUGGGAUACUGCGACGAAUUUGACCGUCUUCGCUUACAAAUGAAAAUAAACCCCAAAAUUUUCGUUGCAAAUAUGGCAUGCUUAAUCUUCACCGAAGCAGUCUUAAGACGCAGCAGUGUUACUGGGAUGGUCAGUAAUACGUGCAAAAAUAAAAGCCCGAAAAAAGCCUCACUUGAUCCAGUUUGAUCAGAUGCUGUCAUUAAAAUUACUUAGUAUUGAAUGAAGACAUUUAAGAAAUUUUCAGAGGAGGAUAUAGACAAGGUCUCUGCGGAAGCACCGGCAGUAAUCAGCAAAAAGAUUGCGAAAAUGAAUCGUCCUCCAGGAUCUAAUCGAAAAAGAAAAACGAAAAAAAAGGUUUAAAAAAAACAUAAAUCACGAGAAUUUGUCCCUUCAGACGAAAACUAUUCUUCAAGCGAAGAUGAGACAAAACAAUUAAAAAUAGUCGAAGAAGAUACGGAACAAAAUAUUAAUAAAGUUGCAUCAGAAGGUGAGGAUACCAAUGCUGUGUUAUUAGAAGACGAGACGGAUUUUGAAAUUGACGACGAUGACAAACUAACUGGUGCAAAUAAAGAGAAACCUGAUAUUGAAAAUGAAAACACCUAAGGAAAUCAAAAUCAGUGCGACUUU